RNAcentral lists this ribosomal RNA (320 nucleotides) under uncultured Prevotella sp. RNAcentral describes it as "bacterial SSU rRNA". It matches the Rfam family "Bacterial small subunit ribosomal RNA", at positions 28 to 339 of the family's 1533-position model. Lineage: Bacteria; Pseudomonadati; Bacteroidota; Bacteroidia; Bacteroidales; Prevotellaceae. The record is from RNAcentral.
GAUGAACGCUAGCUACAGGCUUAACACAUGCAAGUCGAGGGGCAGCAUGCUGGUAGCUUGCUAUCAGCGAUGGCGACCGGCGCACGGGUGCGUAACACGUAUCCAAUCUACCCAUGGCUCGGGGAUAGCCUUUCGAAAGAAAGAUUAAUACCCGAUGGUCUGUUUGCGAGACAUCUCGCGAGCAGUAAAGAUUUAUCGGCGAUGGAUGAGGAUGCGUCCGAUUAGCUAGUUGGCGGGGUAACGGCCCACCAAGGCGACGAUCGGUAGGGGUUCUGAGAGGAAGGUCCCCCACAUUGGAACUGAGACACGGUCCAAACUCC